Non-coding RNA from Phoenix dactylifera (date palm), 1747 nucleotides. The record is from RefSeq and is a predicted model, not a curated record. Lineage: Eukaryota; Viridiplantae; Streptophyta; Magnoliopsida; Arecales; Arecaceae.
UCAAACCACCAGUUGUAACCUCCACUAGUAGCCCUAUAACUUCCACGUCAUCGAUUGCCAUCCAUCUUGCUAUUAAUGCACACCCUCAUUCUUCCUCAGCUGCUCGAGCUAGUUCUUCCAGAGGGACAUGGCAGUCUCCCUUGAGCAUACACCAACCUGGGCUUUUGCCACAAUCUUCUUCUUCACAAUCUUUAUCUCAUACCUCCUAAAACGUUCCAUCGAUUUCGCUGGCACCUGGCUCAAGAGACGUCAGAAGAUCUCAUUGUAUGAUGCAGUUGAUAAGCUCAAAGAGGAGCUGAUGAUUCUGGGAUUGUUAUCUCUAAUCCUAGCUGUAGUCCAGAAACCUAUUUCAUAUAUUUGCAUACCAACCAAAGCAGCAGACUUUUUGCUCCCUUGCAGCAAAGUUCACGACAAAACCAAUUCUUCCUCUUCUGGCCAUUGUGCUGCUAGAGGGAUGGUUUCUCUGGUGAGCCAACAAGGGGUCCAUCAGCUCCAUAUAUUCAUCUUUGUGUUGGCUGUCGUGCACGUCCUCUGCGGUGUAGUCACCAUGGUUCUCGGAAGAGUUAAGACGAGGCGUUGGAAAGCUUGGGAGAAGGAGACAGCAACAACUGUGUACCAGAUUGCCAAUGACUCAAGGAGGUUUCGAUUCACGAGGGACACUUCAUUCGCAAUAAGACAUGUAAAUCUGUGGACAACAACUUCGGUUUAUAUGUGGAUUAGAUGCUUCUUUAGGCAAUUCUAUGUAGUAGAUAAAGUGGACUAUCUCACAUUGCGGAAUGGUUUCAUCUUGGCUCACUUCUCCAGGCGCAGAACAUUUAAUUUCCAGAAGUACAUCAAAAGAGCAUUGGAUGAUGACUUUAAAACUGUGAUUAGAAUCAGCCCUUUCAUGUGGUUCCUGAUGGUCAUUUUCAUGCUUAUUGAUAUCCAUAGAUGGUAUUCGUACUUUUGGUUAUCCUUCCUGCCUUUAGUUAUUGUAUUAUCUGUGGGAGCGAAUCUCCAUAUGAUCGUUACUAAAAUGGCUCUUCAACUAGACAAGCAGAGGACUGUAAUAUCAGGAGCGCCUCCAGUGCAACCAAAUGAUGAUCUUUUCUGGUUUGGCAACCCUAGAUUGAUCCUAUUUCUCCUCCAUUUAUCUUUUUUUCAGAAUGCUUUUGAGCUCACAUUCUUCAUUUGGAUCUGGUAUGAAUUUGGUUUGAAGUCUUGUUACCACGAAAACUUGGGAAUCACCAUAGCAAGGGUGACGAUAGCGUAAGUUGAAUUCAUCCGAUGGUUGUUCAAUUCCUUUCUAGUUACAUCACUCUUCCCCUGUAUGCACUUGUAUCUCAGAUGGGCUCAGAUUUCAAGCCAUCCAUGCUUGAAGAUAGAACAAGAGAAGCCUUAAGAGGAUGGUAUGAAGACGUGACAAGAAAGCGAAAGAAGCAACAUACAUGCAAGAAUCCGUCAUCAUUUCAUAUGCAGGACAGCAGGAUAUCAAUGCGGACUACCACUUAACAUAUGUUCUUUUAUGAUAUCUUGUGUGUAAAUACAAAUAUCUCCAGGAAGCAGUUAAUCUGCAGGAAACUUUACAUUGGCUGUACUGAAUCUUGCAUGAUUCCAUAUAUCUAGAGGUCCAUAUGUUCAUCUUUAGUUGAGAAGGUCAAAAAAAAAAAAACAAAGAAUUUUGCAGCUACCAGUUUUUAUUUUGUUGCUGGUUCCUUAGUAUAAGAGAUAUGGGAAUAAAAAAAAAUAUUUGGCCUAAAGAUAUGAA